RNAcentral lists this ribosomal RNA (378 nucleotides) under uncultured bacterium. Its description in RNAcentral is "bacterial SSU rRNA". It matches the Rfam family "Bacterial small subunit ribosomal RNA", at positions 30 to 410 of the family's 1533-position model. The record is from RNAcentral.
AUUGAACGCUGGCGGCAUGCCUUACACAUGCAAGUCGAACGGCAGCGGGCCUUCGGGUGCCGGCGAGUGGCGAACGGGUGAGUAAUGCAUCGGAACGUGCCAUUGAGUGGGGGAUAACGUAGCGAAAGUUGCGCUAAUACCGCAUAUUCUGUGAGCAGGAAAGCAGGGGACCGCAAGGCCUUGCGCUCUUUGAGCGGCCGAUGUCAGAUUAGCUAGUUGGUGAGGUAAAGGCUUACCAAGGCGACGAUCUGUAGCGGGUCUGAGAGGAUGAUCCGCCACACUGGAACUGAGACACGGUCCAGACUCCUACGGGAGGCAGCAGUGGGGAAUUUUGGACAAUGGGGGCAACCCUGAUCCAGCCAUGCCGCGUGAGUGAAG